GGGGGCGAAACGGGUUCGACGGGAGUAAAGAAGUAUAAGUUGCAUGCCGAGGUCCUGGCUGCUCGUUAAACAGGCAGGGAUAAACACAAACGCAGACGACUACGCGUAUGCCGUAGCCGCUUAAGCGGCUACCGUUCCACCGGCUAGAGCCCGCGCGGCCGGAUGGGGCGCCGACUCAGCGGGAUGGUUUCUGGGAUGACGCCGACAGUCCCAGGGGCGAGAGACUAGUGGGCUAACUUGGGCAACAUCCGGCCUCAGGGAGGUUGCCCCGGUGACAAUCAGAACUGAGGAUACGCAUGUAGAAGCUUGUACGGAAUGCUUUCGGACGCGGGUUCAACUCCCGCCGCCUCCACCA
RNAcentral lists this transfer-messenger RNA (355 nucleotides) under Syntrophobacteraceae bacterium. It matches the Rfam family "transfer-messenger RNA". From Rfam's summary of the family: Bacterial tmRNA, also known as 10Sa RNA or SsrA, is named for its dual tRNA and mRNA-like properties. Its role is to liberate the mRNA from a stalled ribosome. The record is from RNAcentral. Lineage: Bacteria; Pseudomonadati; Thermodesulfobacteriota; Syntrophobacteria; Syntrophobacterales; Syntrophobacteraceae.